RNAcentral lists this ribosomal RNA (346 nucleotides) under uncultured eukaryote. Its description in RNAcentral is "partial 18S ribosomal RNA". It matches the Rfam family "Eukaryotic small subunit ribosomal RNA", at positions 592 to 976 of the family's 1831-position model. The record is from RNAcentral.
CAGUAGCGUAUAUUAAAGUUGUUGCAGUUAAAAAGCUCGUAGUUGGACGUCUCUCCUUGGAAUCCUUCCAGGUGACCGAGGAGAUCUGCCUAGCAGCUCCACUCGGCGUUUACUCGUCGGUGGUGAUAUGCGGGCAUUUUACCUUGAGGAAACUAGAGUGUUUAAGGCAGGCUCCUGCCUGAAUACCGCAGCUGGGAAUAAUGCGCUCGGAAUGUCUUGGCGAGACACUUCGAAUUCAUUAAUAGGGACAGUUGGGGGCAUUCGUACUCAGCAGUCAGAGGUGAAAUUCUUGGAUUUGCUGAAGACGGACUAGUGCGAAAGCAUUUGCCAAGGAUGUUUUCAUUGA